GACGAACGCUGGCGGCGCGCUUAACACAUGCAAGUCGAACGGAAAGGCCUGUUUUCCCUUGUGGAUUGCGGGUACUCGAGUGGCGAACGGGUGAGUAACACGUGAGUGAUCUGCCCCCAACUUGGGUAUAAGCCUGGGAAACUGGGUCUAAUUCCCGAUAGGACUGCAGGGUGGUGCCUGUGGUGGAAAACGAUUUUCUAGUGGUUGGGGAUGAGCUCGCGGCCUAUCAGCUUGUUGGUGGGGUAAUGGCCUACCAAGGCGGCGACGGGUAGCCGGCCUGAGAGGGUGGACGGCCACAUUGGGACUGAGAUACGGCCCAGACUCCUACGGGAGGCAGCAGUGGGGAAUAUUGCACAAUGGGCGGAAGCCUGAUGCAGCGACGCCGCGUGGGGGAUGACGGCCUUCGGGUUGUAAACUCCUUUCGACCGCGAGGAAGCCACCUGGUUGGAAGGGUGGUGACGGUAGUGGUAGAAGAAGCACCGGCUAACUACGUG
Molecule: ribosomal RNA, 494 nt
Filed under: uncultured bacterium
Lineage: Bacteria
Description: partial 16S ribosomal RNA
Rfam family: Bacterial small subunit ribosomal RNA
Source: RNAcentral